CGCCCUUCGAGUUUGAUCCUGGCUCAGGAUGAACGCUAGCGGGAGGCCUAACACAUGCAAGCCGAGCGGUAGAGUUCCUUCGGGGACUUGAGAGCGGCGCACGGGUGCGGAACACGUGUGCAACCUGCCUUUAUCUGGGGGAUAGCCUUUCGAAAGGAAGAUUAAUACCCCAUAAUAUGUUGAAUGGCAUCAUUCGACAUUGAAAACUCCGGUGGAUAGAGAUGGGCACGCGCAAGAUUAGAUAGUUGGUGAGGUAACGGCUCACCAAGUCUGCGAUCUUUAGGGGGCCUGAGAGGGUGAUCCCCCACACUGGUACUGAGACACGGACCAGACUCCUACGGGAGGCAGCAGUGAGGAAUAUUGGACAAUGGGUGAGAGCCUGAUCCAGCCAUCCCGCGUGAAGGACGACGGCCCUAUGGGUUGUAAACUUCUUUUGUAUAGGGAUAAACCUACUCUCGUGAGAGUAGCUGAAGGUACUAUACGAAUAAGCACCGGCUAACUCCGUGCCAGCAGCCGCGGUAAUACGGAGGGUGCAAGCGUUAUCCGGAUUUAUUGGGUUUAAAGGGUCCGUAGGCUGAUGUGUAAGUCAGUGGUGAAAUCUCACAGCUUAACUGUGAAACUGCCAUUGAUACUGCAUGUCUUGAGUGUUGUUGAAGUAGCUGGAAUAAGUAGUGUAGCGGUGAAAUGCAUAGAUAUUACUUAGAACACCAAUUGCGAAGGCAGGUUACUAAGCAACAACUGACGCUGAUGGACGAAAGCGUGGGGAGCGAACAGGAUUAGAUACCCUGGUAGUCCCGCCGUAAACGAUGCUAACUCGUUUUUGGGUUUUUAGACUGGAGACUAAGCGAAAGU
This 852-nucleotide ribosomal RNA is filed under the name uncultured bacterium. RNAcentral describes it as "bacterial SSU rRNA". It matches the Rfam family "Bacterial small subunit ribosomal RNA", at positions 1 to 858 of the family's 1533-position model. The record is from RNAcentral.